AAUCCAUAGGUUAAUGAGGCGAACCGGGGGAACUGAAACAUCUAAGUACCCCGAGGAAAAGAAAUCAACCGAGAUUCCCCCAGUAGCGGCGAGCGAACGGGGAGGAGCCCAGAGCCUGAAUCAGCAUGUGUGUUAGUGGAAGCGUCUGGAAAGGCGCGCGAUACAGGGUGACAGCCCCGUACACAAAAGCGCAUGUGCUGUGAGCUCGAUGAGUAGGGCGGGACACGUGGUAUCCUGUCUGAAUAUGGGGGGACCAUCCUCCAAGGCUAAAUACUCCUGACUGACCGAUAGUGAACCAGUACCGUGAGGGAAAGGCGAAAAGAACCCCGGCGAGGGGAGUGAAAAAGAACCUGAAACCGUGUACGUACAAGCAGUGGGAGCACAGGUU
This 388-nucleotide ribosomal RNA is filed under the name Salmonella enterica subsp. enterica serovar Infantis. RNAcentral's name for it is "partial 23S ribosomal RNA". It matches the Rfam family "Bacterial large subunit ribosomal RNA", at positions 161 to 587 of the family's 2925-position model. Lineage: Bacteria; Pseudomonadati; Pseudomonadota; Gammaproteobacteria; Enterobacterales; Enterobacteriaceae. The record is from RNAcentral. RNAcentral also lists the same sequence under 6 other names.